This 451-nucleotide ribosomal RNA is filed under the name Geocharax sp. 2-MBS-2007. RNAcentral's name for it is "partial 16S large subunit ribosomal RNA". It matches the Rfam family "Bacterial large subunit ribosomal RNA", at positions 1932 to 2591 of the family's 2925-position model. Lineage: Eukaryota; Metazoa; Arthropoda; Malacostraca; Decapoda; Parastacidae. The record is from RNAcentral.
CGCGGUAUUUUGACCGUGCGAAGGUAGCAUAAUCAUUAGUCUUUUAAUUGGAGGCUUGUAUGAAGGGUCGGACGAGAAAUUAGCUGUCUUUAUAGGAGAAAUAAAAUUUAACUUUUAAGUGAGAGGGCUUAAAUAUUCUAAAGGGACGAUAAGACCCUAUAAAGUUUGACAUUUUAUUUUUUGACGAAUGAAUUAGGAUAAUUAAAGUUUAUUAAAGAGUUAGAUGUUUUGUUGGGGCGACAAGAAUAUAAAUAAUUUAACUGUUUUUAUGUAGUUACAAAGAUAAUUGAAUUUGUGGUCCUUAUUAAAGAGUGAAGAAUAAAUUACUUUAGGGAUAACAGCGUAAUUUUUUUUGAGAGUUCAUAUCGACAAAAAAGUUUGCGACCUCGAUGUUGAAUUAAAGGUUCUUUAUAAUGUAGCAGUUAUAGAAGAGGGUCUGUUCGACCUUUAA